AGUUGGAUGAGUAAUCGCGGCUGUCAUUUGACAGAUGAGGAAAGUCCGGGCUUCAUAGGGCAGGGUGCCGGAUAACGUCCGGUGGAGGCGACUCCCAGGAAAGUGCAACAGAAAUAUACCGCCAUUUAUAUGGUAAGGGUGGAAAGGCGAGGUAAGAGCUCACCGCUGGUCUGGUAACAGAUCAGGCUCUGUAAACCCCACUCGAAGCAAGACCAAACAGUAACCACCGGUUAUGGAGAUGAUACAGUUGCCCGCUGCAUCUUUGGUAGGUCGCUUGAGCUUUAUGGUAACAUAAAGACUAGAUAGAUGAUUACUCUCGACAUAACCCGGCUUAUAGUCCAACUUAU
RNAcentral lists this RNase P RNA (347 nucleotides) under uncultured Coprococcus sp. RNAcentral describes it as "Bacterial RNase P class A". It matches the Rfam family "Bacterial RNase P class A". Rfam says of the family: Ribonuclease P (RNase P) is a ubiquitous endoribonuclease, found in archaea, bacteria and eukarya as well as chloroplasts and mitochondria. Its best characterised activity is the generation of mature 5'-ends of tRNAs by cleaving the 5'-leader elements of precursor-tRNAs. The record is from RNAcentral. Lineage: Bacteria; Bacillati; Bacillota; Clostridia; Lachnospirales; Lachnospiraceae.